AAAACACUGAUUGGAAACCACAUGUUGAAAACGUAUCGUUGGAUUGGAUAAUACGGCGUACUUUUCUUUCUUGACAUUUUUAUUCGUAAUAAUGGUAUUUAUCUGGUAACAGCCUAUAAUUUCUACAUGGCAAUUUCAUCUGAUCAUGUGGCCUAAGCAGCUGAACAUUCUGCAAAAUGUCGUCUCUUUUUCCUGUACCAGCUUCAUGUUUGUCAGAAACACUUCAGAACAAUUCGGGAUUAACACCCUGGUAUCUGGUAACAGUCUAUAAUUUCUACAUGGCAAUUUCAUCUGAUCAUGUGGCCUGAGCAGCUGAACAUUUUGCCAAAAUGUCUCUUUUUCCUGUACCAGCUUCACGUUUGUCAGAAACACUUCAGAACAAUUCAGGAUUAACACCCUGGUGGAGUUUGAGCUUCUUUGUUGCUGCCCAACUUACACAUGGAUUUGACGCAGCCAGCUGAGGGCUUUAAUUCUUGUUGAUCAUGUAUGUUCGUGUAGUUGCUGUCCGAUGUGGAACGUUGUUGCAGCCUAUGCUGG
Daphnia pulex (common water flea) is the source of this 537-nucleotide long non-coding RNA. RefSeq lists it as uncharacterized. Lineage: Eukaryota; Metazoa; Arthropoda; Branchiopoda; Diplostraca; Daphniidae. The transcript has 5 exons. The record is from RefSeq and is a predicted model, not a curated record.